AUCCUCUGUCAGACUAAUUUGGACUGGAUGUUGACAGUUGUCUCUCCCUGAAUAAAUAUUUGUAGUGGCAGAGAGAAAGGUUGCAUAGGCAUUCCACGCUGCAAACACAGUCAACUCAAUUGAAGUGUGACGUAGAGCUCAUACAUCCAGCUGUGUUACCUCUUGAAGUCUUGCUUGUUUUUCUCAAUUCAUUUUCUCUUUUUCUACACUGACUUCCUACAGGAAAAAAAGUGAAGAGUGCUCUUUUGAACUUUGAAUGUUUAAUCAAGAUUGGAAGUGUUCUCUUCAAGAAGGUUGAAUAGAGAUCUCUUGGGAAUGCGGAAGAUGAGCAUAGUGUCCAAAUUAGAUGAUAAUUUUUGUCUUUUACUUUGAAAGCUUGAGGAUAAGAAUUUAUACAGAGGCCAAAGGCAUGGUUCCAGUGCAGCACUCUUUCGAUGGGAUCUGGUCAUUGAAUCUGGUUGGAUUUCAUACGUAACUACUGGCUUUCUGUUACAACUCCAAUUUCAAACUUUGGCAACUCAUGCCUGGGGAGUGGAAGGAUACCAAAAUACACCAAGAAAAAAAUGAUUCUGAUUGUACAUGAUUGUUUUGACUAAAAAUUGUAAUUGUGUCCAGCUACACAGAAGUUUUUUCCUUUAUAGAUUACAGCAAGUUAUACUGUGUCCUAAACCACAUCAGAAAAUCUGAAUGGCAUUAUUUAAAAGAAGAAAUAAAUAAUUUUGGAAAAGAUAGAUUUCCAUCAGUCUUUGUAUUACCAGUGAAAAAUCCAAAUAAAUCAAAUA
This is a long non-coding RNA of Tachysurus vachellii, 782 nucleotides long. RefSeq lists it as uncharacterized. NCBI's taxonomy places the organism in Eukaryota, Metazoa, Chordata, Actinopteri, Siluriformes, Bagridae. The transcript has 3 exons. The record is from RefSeq and is a predicted model, not a curated record.